CACGGGUGCGUAACGCGUGGGAAUCUGCCCUUGGGUUCGGAAUAACCGUUAGAAAUGACGGCUAAUACCGGAUGAUGACGUAAGUCCAAAGAUUUAUCGCCCGAGGAUGAGCCCGCGUAGGAUUAGCUAGUUGGUGGGGUAAAGGCCUACCAAGGCGACGAUCCUUAGCUGGUCUGAGAGGAUGAUCAGCCACACUGGGACUGAGACACGGCCCAGACUCCUACGGGAGGCAGCAGUGGGGAAUAUUGGACAAUGGGCGCAAGCCUGAUCCAGCAAUGCCGCGUGAGUGAUGAAGGCCUUAGGGUUGUAAAGCUCUUUUACCCGGGAUGAUAAUGACAGUACCGGGAGAAUAAGCUCCGGCUAACUCCGUGCCAGCAGCCGCGGUAAU
Molecule: ribosomal RNA, 388 nt
Filed under: uncultured bacterium
Lineage: Bacteria
Description: bacterial SSU rRNA
Rfam family: Bacterial small subunit ribosomal RNA
Source: RNAcentral